UGGCUCAGUGGUAGAGUGCUUGCCUUGCAAGCAUGAGGCCCUGGGUUCGAUUCCUCAG
This is a non-coding RNA of Dipodomys ordii (Ord's kangaroo rat), 58 nucleotides long. The record is from Rfam. NCBI's taxonomy places the organism in Eukaryota, Metazoa, Chordata, Mammalia, Rodentia, Heteromyidae.